UACAUAGGUCUCAAGCGUUGUUCGGAUUCAUUGGGCGUAAAGGGUGCGUAGGCGGCGCGGUAAGUCGGGUGUGAAAUCUCGGAGCUUAACUCCGAAACUGCAUUCGAUACUGCCGUGCUUGAGGACUGGAGAGGAGACUGGAAUUUACGGUGUAGCAGUGAAAUGCGUAGAUAUCGUAAGGAAGACCAGUGGCGAAGGCGGGUCUCUGGACAGUUCCUGACACUGAGACACGAAGGCCAGGGGAGCAAACGGG
Molecule: ribosomal RNA, 253 nt
Filed under: uncultured bacterium
Lineage: Bacteria
Description: partial 16S ribosomal RNA
Rfam family: Bacterial small subunit ribosomal RNA
Source: RNAcentral